GUGAGGAAUAUUGGACAAUGGCCGAGAGGCUGAUCCAGCCAUGCCGCGUGCGGGAAGACGGCCCUAUGGGUUGUAAACCGCUUUUGUUGGAGAGCAAUAAGAGUCACGUGUGACUUGAUGAGAGUAUCCAGCGAAUAAGCAUCGGCUAACUCCGUGCCAGCAGCCGCGGUAAUACGGAGGAUGCAAGCGUUAUCCGGAUUUAUUGGGUUUAAAGGGUGCGUAGGCGGAUGAUUAAGCGUGAGGUGAAAUGCCACGGCUCAACCGUGGAACUGCCUCGCGAACUGGUUGUCUGGAAUGCCCCUGCCGUGGGAGGAAUGUGUGGUGUAGCGGUGAAAUGCAUAGAGAUCACACAGAACACCGAUUGCGAAGGCAUCUCACGAAGGGGUGAUUGACGCUGAGGCACGAAAGCGUGGGGAUCAAACAGG
Molecule: ribosomal RNA, 425 nt
Filed under: uncultured rumen bacterium
Lineage: Bacteria
Description: bacterial SSU rRNA
Rfam family: Bacterial small subunit ribosomal RNA
Source: RNAcentral